This 302-nucleotide ribosomal RNA is filed under the name uncultured bacterium. RNAcentral describes it as "partial 16S ribosomal RNA". It matches the Rfam family "Bacterial small subunit ribosomal RNA", at positions 508 to 807 of the family's 1533-position model. The record is from RNAcentral.
GCAGUAGCCGCGGUAAUACCGAGGGUGCGAGCGUUAAUCGGAUUUACUGGGCGUAAAGCGUGCGUAGGCGGCUUCUUAAGUCGGAUGUGAAAUCCCUGAGCUUAACUUAGGAAUUGCAUUCGAUACUGGGAAGCUAGAGUAUGGGAGAGGAUGGUAGAAUUCCAGGUGUAGCGGUGAAAUGCGUAGAGAUCUGGAGGAAUACCGAUGGCGAAGGCAGCCAUCUGGCCUAAUACUGACGCUGAGGUACGAAAGCAUGGGGAGCAAACAGGAUUAGAUACCCCUGUAGUCCCUGUCUCUUAUAC